CAAGUCGAGCGGACAGAAGGGAAGCUUGCUCCCGGAUGUUAGCGGCGGACGGGUGAGUAACACGUGGGUAACCUGCCUGUAAGACUGGGAUAACUCCGGGAAACCGGAGCUAAUACCGGAUAGUUCCUUGAACCGCAUGGUUCAAGGAUGAAAGACGGUUUCGGCUGUCACUUACAGAUGGACCCGCGGCGCAUUAGCUAGUUGGUGAGGUAACGGCUCACCAAGGCGACGAUGCGUAGCCGACCUGAGAGGGUGAUCGGCCACACUGGGACUGAGACACGGCCCAGACUCCUACGGGAGGCAGCAGUAGGGAAUCUUCCGCAAUGGACGAAAGUCUGACGGAGCAACGCCGCGUGAGUGAUGAAGGUUUUCGGAUCGUAAAGCUCUGUUGUUAGGGAAGAACAAGUGCAAGAGUAACUGCUUGCACCUUGACGGUACCUAACCAGAAAGCCACGGCUAACUACGUGCCAGCAGCCGCGGUAAUACGUAGGUGGCAAGCGUUGUCCGGAAUUAUUGGGCGUAAAGGGCUCGCAGGCGGUUUCUUAAGUCUGAUGUGACAGCCCCCGGCUCAACCGGGGAGGGUCAUUGGAAACUGGGAAACCUGCGUGCAGAAGAGGAGAGUGCACCUUCCACGUGUAGCGGUGAAAUGCGUAGAGAUGUGGAGCAACACCAGUGGCGAAGGCGAUUCUCUGGUCUGUAACUGACGCUGAGGAGCGAAAGCGUGGGGAGCGAACAGGAUUAGAUACCGUGGUAGUCCACGCCGUAAACGAUGAGUGCUAAGUGUUAGGGGGUUUCCGCCCCUUAGUGCUGCAGCUAACGCAUUAAGCACUCCGCCUGGGGAGUACGGUCGCAAGACUGAAACUCAAAGGAAUUGACGGGGGCCCGCACAAGCGGUGGAGCAUGUGGUUUAAUUCGAAGCAACGCGAAGAACCUUACCAGGUCUUGACAUCCUCUGACAACCCUAGAGAUAGGGCUUUCCCUUCGGGGACAGAGUGACAGGUGGUGCAUGGUUGUCGUCAGCUCGUGUCGUGAGAUGUUGGGUUAAGUCCCGCAACGAGCGCAACCCUUGAUCUUAGUUGCCAGCAUUCAGUUGGGCACUCUAAGGUGACUGCCGGUGACAAACCGGAGGAAGGUGGGGAUGACGUCAAAUCAUCAUGCCCCUUAUGACCUGGGCUACACACGUGCUACAAUGGACAGAACAAAGGGCUGCGAGACCGCAAGGUUUAGCCAAUCCCACAAAUCUGUUCUCAGUUCGGAUCGCAGUCUGCAACUCGACUGCGUGAAGCUGGAAUCGCUAGUAAUCGCGGAUCAGCAUGCCGCGGUGAAUACGUUCCCGGGCCUUGUACACACCGCCCGUCACACCACGAGAGUUUGCAACACCCGAAGUCGGUGAGGUAACCUUUAUGGAGCCAGC
Molecule: ribosomal RNA, 1414 nt
Filed under: Bacillus sp. (in: firmicutes)
Lineage: Bacteria; Bacillati; Bacillota; Bacilli; Caryophanales; Bacillaceae
Description: bacterial SSU rRNA
Rfam family: Bacterial small subunit ribosomal RNA
Source: RNAcentral